Schistocerca nitens (vagrant locust) is the source of this 441-nucleotide long non-coding RNA. RefSeq lists it as uncharacterized. The transcript is spliced from 2 exons. The record is from RefSeq and is a predicted model, not a curated record. NCBI's taxonomy places the organism in Eukaryota, Metazoa, Arthropoda, Insecta, Orthoptera, Acrididae.
GUCAGCAUAAGCAAUCGCAUCACUUCAACUACUUAAGGGAAGAGGAGCCUGCUUCAGUUGAAACCCACCUCGCAAAUGAGAGAGGAGGGCUGGUGAGCUGGAUUUACUCUAGAGAGCAGAGAGAGAGGGUGCGUGAAUUCCACCUCAGGGGCAGUGGUGGCGUCAGGAAGGGCAUCUGGUCAUCAUCUACCAUUAACAGUGCCACAACCAAUACAACAGUGCUGACCCUGUCAAGCAAUGGAAAAAGACAAAGAGGAUGAGAAGAUUAAUUUAGCUUCCUGUGGCUCUUUUUGUAACUGGGAUAAUUAGUUAGGAAUACUGUACUAACACAGUGUUUUUUUAUAAAGAGCAGUGAUGUUUCUGUUACCCACAAUUUACAUUUGUUUUCCGUAGCUACUACUAAUAAAGUGGCCACUUUUGGAAAGACUUCCUGAAAAUGAC